GAGUUUGAUCCUGGCUCAGAACGAACGCUGGCGGCGUGGAUAAGACAUGCAAGUCGAACGGGUUUACUUCUGUAGCAAUACAGGAGUGAGCUAGUGGCGUAAGGGUGCGUAACACGUGGGCAACCUGCCCGGAAAUGGGGGAUAGCCCGCCGAAAGGCGGAUUAAUACCGCAUGUGGCUACCGGUGACAUCACUGGGACGCCAAAGAUGGAGCAAUCUAUCGUUUCCGGAUGGGCCCGCGGCCUAUCAGCUAGUUGGUGUGGGUAACGGCCCACCAAGGCGAUGACGGGUAGCUGGUCUGAGAGGACGACCAGCCACACUGGAACUGAGACACGGUCCAGACACCUACGGGUGGCAGCAGUCGAGAAUUUUUCUCAAUGGGGGAAACCCUGAAGGAGCGACGCCGCGUGGAGGAUGAAGGUCUUCGGAUUGUAAACUCCUGUCAUUGGUGAACAAGGUUCUGCGGUUAACUGCCGUGGGAUUUGAUAGUAGCCGAAGAGGAAGAGACGGCUAACUCUGUGCCAGCAGCCGCGGUAAUACAGAGGUCUCAAGCGUUGUUCGGAUUCAUUGGGCGUAAAGGGUGCGUAGGCGGCGGGGCAAGUCUGAUGUGAAAUCCCGGGGCUCAACCCCGGAACUGCACUGGAUACUGCCUUGCUUGAGUACUGGAGAGGAGACUGGAAUUUACGGUGUAGCAGUGAAAUGCGUAGAUAUCGUAAGGAAGGCCAGCGGCGAAGGCGAGUCUCUGGACAGUUACUGACGCUGAGGCACGAAGGCCAGGGGAGCAAACGGGAUUAGAUACCCCGGUAGUCCUGGCAGUAAACGGUGCGCGUUUGGUGUGGGGGGAUUCGACCCCUUCCGUGCCGAAGCUAACGCGAUAAACGCGCCGCCUGGGGAGUACGGUCGCAAGAUUAAAACUCAAAGAAAUUGACGGGGGCCCGCACAAGCGGUGGAGUAUGUGGCUUAAUUCGAUGCAACGCGAAGAACCUUACCUGGGCUUGACAUGCAUCUCUAAGUCGGUGAAAGCCGGCGAGUCCCGCAAGGGACAAUUUGCACAGGUGCUGCAUGGCUGUCGUCAGCUCGUGUCGUGAGAUGUUGGGUUAAGUCCCGCAACGAGCGCAACCC
This 1121-nucleotide ribosomal RNA is filed under the name uncultured bacterium. Its description in RNAcentral is "bacterial SSU rRNA". It matches the Rfam family "Bacterial small subunit ribosomal RNA", at positions 9 to 1104 of the family's 1533-position model. The record is from RNAcentral.